Anthonomus grandis grandis is the source of this 974-nucleotide long non-coding RNA. RefSeq lists it as uncharacterized. The transcript has 3 exons. The record is from RefSeq and is a predicted model, not a curated record. Lineage: Eukaryota; Metazoa; Arthropoda; Insecta; Coleoptera; Curculionidae.
UUUGGCAAAUGAAGAGGAAAGUGUUUGUGCGGGCUUAUGGAGACUGUGGGUGUACAAGAAAGACAAUAACAUUUGUGAUAAAAAUAAUAAGAGUGAUCUGGACAGUGAUUUAGACUUGCAUAGUUCUGAUAGUUCAUUUUCUAGUAUUGAGGAAGCAAAAAGAAGCAAGGGAAGUAGAAGCUACAGAGAAAAUCAAGCAGUUUUAAAAGAACAAAUUUAUCUAAAUAUCUAUAACAAUCUAAGGAAUGAUCCUUCAAUGAGUUCACAAAUGAUUGUAGUGCUUUGCAAAAAAUAGCGUUUUUAACAGGGGUUCCCUAUAGUACAACAUCCCUGUAAAAAAAGGAUUAAAGACAGAAUUUUUAUUUUUUUAGGAAAGAUGCAGGACAAUCAAAGGGACUUGACAUGGAUAUACAAAAACAAUGAGGUUCUGACCAUAGAGACACCUUAUCGGCAAGGGAAAAACAUUUCUCAGUCUCAACCUUGCGGAGAUACCUGAUAAAACUUGGAUUUAAGCUUAAGAUGGUUAACAAAAGAGCUGCUGUAAUGGAAUUGUCAGGUGGUGUAUAGAAUAUUUGAGGAAAAUUAAAAAAAAUUGGGAGGAAGAAAGAUCCAUAUAUUAUUUAGCCGAAACAUGAUAUGAUACAUUUAAGAUUGAUGUAUGAUUUCCAUUCUCUGGGAAAGAAGUCCCUUUUUUGCCAUACUUACUACCCCUGUUGUCCUUCAGCGACACAAUGAAGACUGCUUCUUCCUCCAUUCUCUAGAAAAAAGUCCCUUUUUUGCCAUACUUACUGCCCCUGUUUGUCCUUCAGCGACACAAUCAAGUAUAUAUAAUGUAAUGCUUUAGUAUCCAUAUGCUGAUGUGUGAGAUGAAGUUGGAAUCCAUGGCGGCAACAGAGAAACUGUUUCCUUCCUUAAUGGAAGAAACUGCUAAAGAACAAUGGCAAAAAAACAGAAUUUACAAAAUUUGUAUUAAC